RNAcentral lists this long non-coding RNA (681 nucleotides) under Junco hyemalis (dark-eyed junco). RNAcentral describes it as "lncRNA (ENSJHYG00000007770.1)". Lineage: Eukaryota; Metazoa; Chordata; Aves; Passeriformes; Passerellidae. The record is from RNAcentral.
CAGGCUAAUGUUCUUUUAAUGUGCUAUCUUCAAAUAUAGUGCCUUGGAGGGUUAUGUGUGUCCUUAUAAAUAAAGCAAAAGCCAGAAAUGCCAAAGUAUAAAUGGACAACACUGAACUCCUUAAGAUGGCAAAAGGCAGGCAGUAUAGUUUGUUUUCAUGAUGUGUGAUUCCCAGGAGCCUCAGCAGAUUUCAGCAGGGGAAACCUACCAGAGAAGUCCUCUUGGCUGCAGAUUACAAGAUCUUUAAGGAGCUCUGUAGAAGUAGAGAAGGGUUAUUAAAAAGAGAUUACUUCCAGGCUGUGACAAACUUGUCGGCACAAGCUAAAAGUGACUUUUCAGAUGUUUACAACGAGUUUGAUAAGAUUUUUAGAAGGACAUCAUUAAGCACCUCUUCAGCACUGAGGGCUGACAAGGUCGUAGGAGUGCUGCGAAAGAGACGCAUCAAGGAAUUGAUCUCUGGUUUUCACAUGCCAGUAAAAGUUAGGACAGCAUCCUCAACAGCAGUUUCUGUCUGGAGAAGACUGAACACAGAGUAUGAGGCUGAGAAAAAUCACACUGGUUGUUGAGAAAGAGAAAACUCCAAUCAAAAAAACAGGUUGAGAAAAAUCACACUGGUUGUUGAGAAAGAGAAAAUUCCAGUCACAAAAUAAAACUGGCUGGAGAAGUAAUAACUGAGGAGUG